Molecule: transfer RNA, 69 nt
Filed under: Leptobrachium ngoclinhense
Lineage: Eukaryota; Metazoa; Chordata; Amphibia; Anura; Megophryidae
Description: tRNA-Val
Source: RNAcentral
ACAGAGUGUAGCUUAACUAAAGCCUCUUGCUUACACCAAGACAAUACCCAAUAAUUAUGGGUCGCUCUG